UCCAACUUAACGUUGGCAGUCUCUUUAGAGUGCCCAACUUAAUGCUGGCAACUAAAGAUAAGGGUUGCGCUCGUUGCGGGACUUAACCCAACAUCUCACGACACGAGCUGACGACAGCCAUGCAGCACCUGUCUCUCUGUCCCUUUCGGGCCUUCCGUAUCUCUACGGCGUUCAGAGGAUGCCAAACCCAGGUAAGGUUUUUCGCGUUGCAUCGAAUUAAACCACAUUCUCCACCGCUUGUGCGGGCCCCCGUCAAUUUCUUUGAGUUUUAAUCUUGCGACCGUACUCCCCAGGCGGGAUACUUAACGCGUUAGCUCCGGCACUGAAGGGGUCAAUACCUUCAACACCAAGUAUCCAUCGUUUACAGCGUGGACUAC
Molecule: unclassified non-coding RNA, 377 nt
Filed under: uncultured Pseudobdellovibrionaceae bacterium
Lineage: Bacteria; Pseudomonadati; Bdellovibrionota; Bdellovibrionia; Bdellovibrionales; Pseudobdellovibrionaceae
Description: uncultured Bdellovibrionaceae bacterium contains 16S-23S intergenic spacer region
Source: RNAcentral